This 532-nucleotide ribosomal RNA is filed under the name Sperata seenghala (giant river-catfish). RNAcentral's name for it is "partial 16S ribosomal RNA". It matches the Rfam family "Bacterial large subunit ribosomal RNA", at positions 1845 to 2586 of the family's 2925-position model. Lineage: Eukaryota; Metazoa; Chordata; Actinopteri; Siluriformes; Bagridae. The record is from RNAcentral.
AUAGGACGUCUUACCUGCCCAGUGACAAGUUAAACGGCCGCGGUAUUUUGACCGUGCGAAGGUAGCGCAAUCACUUGUCUUUUAAAUGAAGACCUGUAUGAAUGGUGGAACGAGGGCUUAACUGUCUCCCCCUUCAAAUCAAUGAAAUUGAUCUACCCGUGCAGAAGCGGGUAUACUAAUAUAAGACGAGAAGACCCUUUGGAGCUUAAGAUGUUAGAUCAACUAUGUCAAGAAUUAUAAAACAUUAAACUAAGUAGCAACUGAUCCCUAUCUUCGGUUGGGGCGACCACGGGAAAAAAUAAAACUCCCAUGCGGACUGGGGCAACCCCUAAAACUAUGAAAGACAUUUCUAAGUCACAGAAUAUCUGACCACUAAGAUCCGGCAAACUGCCGAUUAACGAACCAAGUUACCCUAGGGAUAACAGCGCAAUCCCCUUUCAGAGUCCAUAAUCGACAAGGGGGUUUACGACCUCGAUGUUGGAUCAAGACAUCCUAAUGGUGCAGCCCGCUUUAAGGGUUCGUUUGUUCAAAG